CUUGUAUCUUCUCAUUUAUUUCUUCUUCUCACUACAGUUCAGAAAAGUUUUCAGCAAGCUUUUCAUUCGACUGAGACCUAAUGGUGACUUCUGAUCUCUAUUUUCUGUUUCACUUUCAUGAUUAUCUACCUUUGCUGUUGUUCCUCACAUAAUAUUCUGCAGGUUGCAAAUUUCUUUGGCUUAAGUUCUGUUCUUCUUCCCAAAAAAAAUAAUUCUGUUUUCAUUGUUUAUGCAGGAAAUUCUGAUUAUGCAAUGGAUUUGCAUCAGAAAAAACAACUUCAUUACAAUGCUGUGUCCAUGGUGCAGUCCGAACACUACCUAGUAGCAUUAAGUAUUGGCUUCUAUGUGUACGAUUGAGAUGCCUGGCACAUUCUUAGAAUUCUAUGCAAUGGUUUGCAUGUUUUUCCUAAAAGAAAAAAGGGAAAAUUACCCUCCCUCCCCUGUAGUUUUCCAAAAUUAUAUGUGAGUCCAAGGGUUUGAAUGAUUUACACCCCCUUCCCAUGUAGUUUAAAAGAUUCUUACAAUUAGGUCCAAUCCGUUAGUCACCAUGAACUUUUUUUUUUGGAUGAAUAAAUAAUUCAUUACCAAGAGAAGAAGAAUAUACAAGGGGGAAGCGUGUGGGGGGGAAGGAGGCAAAAGCCAACAAGAACAGCCACAUGAGGAGCCCAAAAAAUACAAUGAGACCACAAAUCGAAAUAGCAAGACUAGUCAAAAUGAAACCAAUGCUGACAUAGGCCCGACCAAGACAGAACCAAAUGAGGGGGAGCAUGCGGCGGUCAAGGGGGCUGGGUAAGGUUAACCUAAAGGUUUCAAGAGGUGAUGAUGUGGAGUUUCUUAAGGAGUUAGGGAUUGGGCGGUUAUGGAAGGAAUGGAGGAUAUGGGCUUUGGAAGCAACAUCAAAGUAGAUAGCUUUCCAAAUCUUAUCCAAAGAUCAAGAUUUGGGGGUCCAUCUAAAGAUGUUAUGUUUCAUCCAAAGGUGACUGAUCGUAGCACAAAAAGCAAGUUUUCCAAUGGUGUCACAGAUGUUCAGACUAGAGAAGGACAUGUCGACCUAGAUACAUUCUCUGUCAAAGGGGAGGAUGGGUCUUCUAGAAGGCCAACAUUUGAAAAGGACAAAUUUCCAAACUUGAUUGGAAAAAGGGCAGGAGAAGAAUAGAUGCUGAAUGUCUUCAUUGCCCAAAGGGCAAAGGCAAUAGGUAGGAUUGACGGGGAUCUGACGAUGGAUGAGAAAGGCUUGGGUGGGAAGGCAUCCGGACAGGCAAUGCUAAAGAGUGAAACUCUGACUAGGGAAAUUCCCUUUAAACCAAACAAGUCUAUGCCAAGGAACAGGUGGGGAAGGGGUACGGGACAGUCACCGUGAACUUGAAUCUGUUAGUUGGUGACUUAACCUUUUUAUUACCAAAAAUAUCCUUAUAAGAAAGUGAAGUUACUACUACGCCCUUCACUUAAAUCGAAUAGAAGAGAAAAUCCCUAAAUCAAUUUGUUCUCAUUCAACCUAAGAAUGGAACGGACAAUCAACUGCAACCUCUGCUAGGUGAGAGAAGAAGAACAAAUCUAGCGAAGAGGCUUGCAGGGAGUGGAGGGCGGAGAACUUGGUUGAAGCUUGUGGGAAGCAGAGAAAAGGUGAAGUAUCAAGAUUUGGCUAUGGUGUACUCUUAAAAACAGAGGAUGAUGUUAUAUGCCUGUGCUCAGUAUGUACUUAAUUGCAGUGAUCUCUCAUUUGUUUAUUGGAACCAUGAAGCUACAAAUCUGAGAAGCUGAGAGCAUGAGUCUUGAGACACGAAAUGUCUUCACACUAGUAGCUAUUUGGUUCAGAGUAGUACAUUAGAUUAGCCCAUCUUAUCAAAAGCUCCUUUCUGCAUCUUAGCACAAUAAUCAUAUAAGCUACCAUCAAAGCAGUGUCUCACAACUUCUUUGGAUAAGAAACCCUCUUCAUCUCUUGAAAGCACAUCCGGAACUGCCUAUUCCAGUUUAGUAGUAAUCCUAUCAAAAUCCAAUAAAAUUAAGAGUUGUUUAAGAACCUUUCAUGAAGUUUCAGAUGGGAUCUUUGUAAAAUAUAAAGAAAUUAGGAACGAACCAUCCAAAGAAAUCAUAGGCGACCCUGUUGCCUUCAGUUAUGUUCCAUAUCUUCCCAAACGUCAAUUUAUUACAAACUGUUUCAGCACAGGGGCGGUUUGCAAAGGUUUGGCACCCACCUUGUCCGACAGUUAUACUUUAAGAAACACUUAAAACGUUCGAUGACAUGAAUCGAUGUGAACCCGAUGCUCGUCGAAGUUUUAUGGAGCUUGCAGAGGGGCGAUUUGUAAAAGUUUUCUCUACCUUCUCCAACGAUUAUGUUUUUAGGGAUUUGAUUUGAUAAAAGGGUAUAAUAAGUAUAUAAGGGUAUAAUGGUCCCAAUAAAGCCCCUGGUUCAGAUGGCUUUAGUAUUGGAUUCUUUUCGACCUGUUGGAAUUUAAUUCGGAGUGAUCUCAUCCUUGCGGUGUGUAGCUUCUUCCUGAACCCCAAUCAAAUUGGGGGGAGUAACCACAUCUUCCCCUACCUUAUCCCCAAAAAGGAUGGAGCGGCUUCCAAGAAUGACUUUAGGCCCAUCUCUUUCUGUAAUCUUCUCUAUAAAUUCAUCACCAAGAUUCUUGCCAAUAGGAUUCAAAAGGUAAUUGAUUCUCUUGUCAGUCACAACAAAUCCGCCUUCAUUGUGGUCAGGAGCAUUACUAACAAUAUCAUCAUUUGUCAUGAGAUUGUUAGGGGGUUUGAUUGUAAGAACCACUCCCCUACUGCCCUCCUCGAGAUUGAUAUCCAUAAAGCCUUUGACACGAUAAGCUGGGACUUCAUCUUGAAUGUGCUGCUCCAAAUGGCCUUCCCUCCCUCCUUUAUUCAUUGGAUCUGCAUUUGCAUUUCCUCUCCCUGCUUCUUUGUCCUUGUGAAUGGGAGCCUAACUGGUCACUUUCCCUCGGGCCGUGGCAUUCGUCAGGGAUGUCCUCUUUCCCCUCUUCUUUUCUCCCUUUUCCUAAAAAUCCUCUCCCGCUCUAUCCAAUCUGCCAUAGACAUUUAUCUUAUCUCCCCUAUCCCCAAAUGCAAAAAUUUCCUCCUCUCCCAUUUGGAUUUUGUUAAUGACAUCAUAAUCUUCACCAAGGCUGACCCUCUCUCCAUCAGCACCAUCAUUGCCACUCUUCAUUCCUUUGAGGCCCUAUUGGGUCUCAAAAUCAACCUCCUUAAGUCCAACAUCUUCCUCUCUAGUAUCUCUCUUGAGGCAAAGAAGGCCCUCUGUGACAUAUCAAGUUUCCCAAUGGGCUCCCUCCAUGUUAAAUAUCUAGGCCUCCCCCUUAACUCUUCCAGGCUUUCUACCCACCAUUGCACUCUCUUGCUUGAUAAUCUUAGGAAGAAGUUCCAACUCUGAAAAGGUAAACUCCUCUCUUUUGUUGGCCGCCUCACCUUGAUCUGAUUGGUUCUCCAAUUAUUGCACCUUUAUUGGUCUGGUACCUUCAUCCUUCCUGCCUCGAUUAUUAAAUCUUUUGAAGGUCUUCUUUGCUCCUUCCUUUGGAAAGGCUCGGAGUCCUCCAGAUUCCUAAGACCUCUUAGCUGGAAAAAAUUCUUGUCUCCCCAAAUCUGAAGGAGGCAUUGGGAUUAGAAGAAUUAAAGAUGCCAAUUCAGUUGGUAUCCUUAAUCUCAUUUAGAAAAUUAUGUCCAAAUAGAAAAGCAUCUGGGUCGACUGGGUAUACUCUGGUCUUCUCAAGAACAAUCCUAUUUGGAUUGCCCCCUCUAUUUCUAAUGCUUCUUGGAUCUGGAGGAAGAUUCUUGAGCAUAGACCUGUUGCUGUCACUGUCAUCUCCCACUCUAUUGGUAAUGGGCAUUCUACCUCCCUUUGGAAAGACCUUUGGCAUCCAUUGGGCAUUAUAUCUCACCCCAUUCCCCCCAAAGUUAUAUAUUCCUUUGGUCUCCCUACUACUGCCAUGGUCUCCUCUAUCCUCUCCCCCAAUGGUUGGUCUCCCCCCUCUCCCCCUUCUCUUGCAGAUCUCUGGUCUUCUCUCCCCCUCUUCCCCCUGGCCAUAGAGGAAGAGAUGAUGCGUGCAUUUGGCUCCCUUUAUCUAAUGGGAUCUUCUCCUCGGCUUCAACCUGGUCCCAUAUUAGAAUUCCUUCCCCGGUCCUCCCUAGGCAUAAGCUAGUUUGGUUUAAGUGUCAUAUUCCUCGACACAACCUCACCCUCUGGAGGAGCCUAACCAACUGUCUCCCACUCAAUCCUUCCUUAUUCACCGGCUUAUCCUAGCUAACCCACAGCUUCACCCUCUGGGGGAUCCUAACCAACUGUCUCUUACUCAAUCCUUCCUUAUUAAUCAGCUCAUCCCAGCUAACCUUGCUUGUUGUCUUUGCCCCUCGGGUGUUAAAGAAAUUCCCCAUCUCUUCUUCUCCUGCCCCUUCUCUACCCUAGUAUGGAAAACAAUGCUCUCCAAAUGCUAGGCAAAUUCGAGACCCAUCCUUCCCUUUGACAGAGAAUGUACUUGGAUUGACAUGAUGUUCCCUGGCCCCUCCAUUUGUGACACUAUUGGCAACUCGCUUUUUGUUAUACCAUUAACCAUCUUUGGAUGGAGCGCAACAUUUAUAGAUGGGUCUUGAAAACUAGGUCUCUAUACAUGAUUUGGAAAGCUAUCUACUUUGUUGUUACCUCCAAAGCCCAUAACCCUCUUAACCUUUACCCCCGGCCUAUCCCUAUAUCCCCAAAGAAUUCUCAUAUAAUCUUCUCAUGGAACCUAUAGGUGGACCUCAUCCACCAUGCGUGACUUUGUCUCCCCCCCCCCCCCCCCCCCUUUUUUAUGAUGUAGCUUUCCCCCUUCUUUAGUCCCAACUUUGUCUCUCUUUGAGUUUUGUACAUUGUAUUUGUUUUCCCUUGGGGCUCACCUUUCCCUGUUGGCCUAGGCUUCCCCCUCUCUUUCCCCUCUAUAUUCUUCCUCUUGAUAAUGAAUUAUUUAUUCAUCUAAAAAAAAAUAUUAAGACUAACUCUACUAAAGGGGUAAUAUGGUCUUUUAAUGUAUAAAAGUCAUAGCACACUCACACUAUCAAUGUUAGGAGAGGGGGCAUAAAUCGUUCAAACCCUUGGACCCACAUGUAAUUUCGGCAAACUAUAGGGGAGGGGGACGUAUUUUUCCCUAAUAAAAUCAGAAAUAAAAAAUAAAUUUUGUGUUGGCUCUUCUAUGGAACUACACAAGUAUGAGAUCUUUUGUGCUUCUUAUUUUAGCGUCACUUGCUUCACCUCACAUGUAAUAAAUUUUGUUUUAGUUUUUUACUUGCUUCAAAUUAUAGAUUGGUCGGUAGGUUGAAUUCCGAUUUUGGGGGAACGUAUUCAUCAUCGUUCAUAGCUACAGCAAUAGCAUGCUCCAUCAGUCAGUGGGAGUGGGGUUUCCUUACUCCUGCUAACAGUCAAGAGACUCAGGACAUGAUCCAUUUACAUAACUCUAAUUAUUGGUUCCAUCCUCUCGUGUGGCUUAUCGCACAAGUGAUCAUUAAAAUCUUGUGGAAACUGAAAAGCAUUAUGGCAUUUGGUGUUUGACCAUAUAUAUUCACCUCUAACUUUUCAAUUUUUUGGUCCUCUUAAUAGGUUCAAGAUGGUGUGCAAACUGGAAUUGGAUUAAUACCAUUGAACCCUCGAAAUUCAUUAUAUGGUAUAGGCUCAUAUGAUCAGCUUAUUCAAUAGUAUUAACAGCACCAAAAUCAGUCAGUUUUGUCUGCAACAAAUACCAUAUGUGAACCACUCUUCAAUGGAUCAAGGGAUGGAAUCAAUGCAGGUUCCACAAAGCUGUCCCUGAUCGAUUUGGUUUGCUUGGUUAAUUGAGUGUGAUAAAGUUGAGUGAUCCCAUCCUGACGUCUCUUGCACUUGGAAUUGAUCUAACGAUUCUUGGGCUAAAUUGAACUCAAAAUAUAACCUUCGCAAAACAUUUGGUUCCCCAUGGUCUGAUGAGCCUGCCAAGGGAGAUCCAAAGUACAGUGUGCCUGAAUGUUAUUACGCUAAACAACCACCUACUCUACUUGUGAGCUGAUCCUGACUCUUCAUUUUGAGGUUCCUUUGAGAUCUUUCAUCUUUUUUAUCCAAUCUUUGCUAGAUGGAUGCAGCAAGGCAAUUUUUCAAAGUUACAUUUGAAAACCUUUUUUUAUUUCUUCUACAGGUGCAGCAUGCCAAAAGAUGGGGUUCAAUUGUAUGCGGCAAAGGAAUUAUAUGCCUUCCUGACUAAUAAUUUAUGUACUGCAUUUAUUUUCUGUUACCACUGAUCAUUUGAGUGGAUGGUGUGUUUUUCCUUCAGAAAGUCCCAGCCCUCCUUGGGACCUAUAAAAGGCAAUGAUUACAAUGUGUACAUGGAUUCCUGUUGCUAUACUAGGGUUUGAUGCUUUUUAGUUCU
Molecule: long non-coding RNA, 6383 nt
Organism: Macadamia integrifolia
Lineage: Eukaryota; Viridiplantae; Streptophyta; Magnoliopsida; Proteales; Proteaceae
Exons: 2
Source: RefSeq, a predicted model, not a curated record